GACAGAGGGGGCAAGCGUUGCUCGGAAUCACUGGGCGUAAAGGGCGCGUAGGCGGGAUGGCAAGUCGGUCGUGAAAUCCUUCGGCUCAACCGAAGAACGUCGGCCGAUACUGCCGUUCUUGAGGGAUGCAGAGGAGAUUGGAAUUCCCGGUGUAGCGGUGAAAUGUGUUGAUAUCGGAAGGAACACCAGAGGCGAAAGCGGUGCACUGGGGCUGGUCUGACGCUGAGGCACGAAAGCCAGGGGAGCGAACGGG
Molecule: ribosomal RNA, 253 nt
Filed under: uncultured bacterium
Lineage: Bacteria
Description: partial 16S ribosomal RNA
Rfam family: Bacterial small subunit ribosomal RNA
Source: RNAcentral